AAUGCCAGAGGAGGGAAACGUGUGGCUUAGAGUUUCAAGACGACUGACCGCGGCUUCUCCACAUCCCCCGCAGUCCCCGAAGCUGGAGAAUCCCAUCAAGGAGAGUAGCCCUACAAGGAAUUCACAUUCCGGUUUUCACCUCUGACAGAGCCCAGGAACCAUGAAUGCAAGUGAAUUUCGCAGGAGAGGGAAGGAGAUGGUGGAUUACGUGGCCAACUACUUGGAAGGCAUUGAGGGACGCCAGGUCUACCCUGACGUGGAGCCCGGCUACCUGCGGCCGCUGAUCCCUGCUGCUGCCCCCCAGGAGCCAGACACAUUUGAGGACAUCAUCAGCGACAUUGAGAAGAUAAUCAUGCCAGGGGUGACGCACUGGCACAGCCCCUACUUCUUCGCCUACUUCCCCACGGCCAGCUCGUACCCAGCCAUGCUUGCAGACAUGCUGUGUGGGGCCAUCGGCUGCAUCGGCUUCUCCUGGGCCGCAAGCCCAGCGUGUACAGAACUGGAGACCGUGAUGAUGGACUGGCUCGGGAAGAUGCUGGAGCUGCCAGAGGCCUUCUUGGCUGGGAAAGCCGGAGAAGGGGGAGGAGUGAUCCAGGGAAGUGCCAGCGAAGCCACCCUGAUGGCCCUGCUGGCUGCUCGGACCAAAGUGAUCCAUCGGCUGCAGGCAGAGUCCCCAGACCUGACACAGGCCGCCAUCAUGGAGAAGCUGGUGGCUUACUCAUCUGAUCAGGCACACUCCUCGGUGGAAAGAGCUGGGUUAAUUGGUGGAGUGAAGUUAAAAGCCAUCCCCUCAGACGGCAACUUUGCCAUGCGUGCGUCUGCCCUGCAGGAAGCCCUGGAGGGAGACAAGGCAGCUGGCCUGAUUCCAUUCUUUGUGGUUGCCACCCUGGGGACCACAACGUGCUGCUCCUUUGACAAUCUCUUGGAAGUCGGUCCUAUCUGCAACAAGGAAGAUGUGUGGCUGCACAUCGAUGCGGCCUAUGCAGGCAGCGCGUUCAUCUGCCCCGAGUUCCGGCCCCUUCUGAACGGAGUGGAGUUUGCAGAUUCAUUCAACUUUAAUCCUCACAAAUGGCUGUUGGUGAAUUUUGACUGCUCUGCCAUGUGGGUGAAAAAGAGAGCAGACUUAACAGGAGCCUUUAGACUGGAUCCCACUUACCUGAAGCACAGCCAUCAGGAUUCAGGAUUUAUCACUGACUACCGGCACUGGCAGAUACCCCUGGGCCGAAGAUUUCGCUCUUUGAAAAUGUGGUUCGUAUUUAGGAUGUAUGGGGUCAAAGGACUGCAGGCUUAUAUCCGCAAGCACGUCCAGCUGUCCCAUGAGUUUGAGUCACUGGUGCGCCAGGAUCCCCGCUUUGAAAUCUGUGCGGAAGUCACUCUGGGGCUUGUCUGCUUUCGGCUCAAGGGUUCCAACAAAGUGAAUGAAGCUCUUCUGCAAAGAAUAAACAGUGCCAAAAAAAUCCACUUGGUUCCAUGUCACCUCAGGGACAAGUUUGUCCUGCGCUUUGCCAUCUGCUCUCGCACCGUGGAAUCUGCCCACGUGCAGGUGGCCUGGGAGCACAUCAAAGAGAUGGCGGCGAACGUGCUGCAAGCAGAGAGGAAGUAGAAGCGAAGCCAGCUGCAGGAGUCACAGUUCCUCUGGAAUCAUUAUAUUUGCUGUAGAUUCAAAAGGAAUCAAAGUUGAAGGGAGAUAUAUCUGAAAACUGGAAUAAGAAGGAAAUAAAUAUCAUCCUGGCUUUGUGGAAGCAAGUCUGUCUGUGGCUUCCUGUGUCUUUCUCCAGAGUUAUCCAGAGGGUUGUGAUUUUUGUCUGCUUAGUGUCUCAUCAACAAAGAAAUAUUAUUUGCUAUAUAAAAAGUCAAUCUUAGUAGCUAUAGCUUUUAUUCAUUAUUUCACUGUGAUUUUUGUUGAGUAAAACAUUAUAGAUUGUCAUGUUCUUACAGCCAUCAGAAGUGGCAGGAAAGCAUCACUGAUAUGUUUUCCAAGGCAAUCUAUGUUCUUGCAACUUGAAAUUCUAUCUGUGGUCUUUAAAUUGUCUUUUGUCAUGUGGCUAAAUGCUUAAUAAACAAUUCAAGUGAA
This is an RNA transcript of Saimiri boliviensis boliviensis (Bolivian squirrel monkey), 2074 nucleotides long. It is a transcript of the gene named dopa decarboxylase, with no coding region annotated. NCBI's taxonomy places the organism in Eukaryota, Metazoa, Chordata, Mammalia, Primates, Cebidae. The record is from RefSeq and is a predicted model, not a curated record.